This 420-nucleotide ribosomal RNA is filed under the name uncultured gamma proteobacterium SUR-ATT-9. RNAcentral describes it as "bacterial SSU rRNA". It matches the Rfam family "Bacterial small subunit ribosomal RNA", at positions 1080 to 1501 of the family's 1533-position model. Lineage: Bacteria; Pseudomonadati; Pseudomonadota; Gammaproteobacteria. The record is from RNAcentral.
UUAAGUCCCGCAACGAGCGCAACCCUUGUCCUUAGUAGCCAGCCUUAAGUUGGGCACUGUAAGGAGACUGCCGGUGACAAACCGGAGGAAGGUGGGGACGACGUCAAGUCAUCAUGGCCCUUACGUGUAGGGCUACACACGUGCUACAAUGGCAUUUACAGAGGGAAGCGAGACAGUGAUGUGGAGCGGACCCCUUAAAGAAUGUCGUAGUCCGGAUUGGAGUCUGCAACUCGACUCCAUGAAGUCGGAAUCGAUAGUAAUCGCAGGUCAGAAUACUGCGGUGAAUAUGUUCCCGGGCCUUGUACACACCGCCCGUCACACCAUGGGAGUGGGAUGCAAAAGAAGUAGUUAGUCUAACCUUCGGGAGGACGAUUACCACUUUGUGUUUCAUGACUGGGGUGAAGUCGUAACAAGGUAACC